RNAcentral lists this ribosomal RNA (245 nucleotides) under uncultured bacterium. Its description in RNAcentral is "partial 16S ribosomal RNA". It matches the Rfam family "Bacterial small subunit ribosomal RNA", at positions 63 to 334 of the family's 1533-position model. The record is from RNAcentral.
CGAGCGCUUCACUUCGGUGAGGAGCGGCGGACGGGUUAGUAACGCGUGGGGACAUACCCUUUUCUAAGGAAUAGCCACUGGAAACGGUGAGUAAUACCCUAUACGCCCUUCGGGGGAAAGAUUUAUCGGUGAAGGAUUGGCCCGCGUUAGAUUAGAUAGUUGGUGGGGUAAUGGCCUACCAAGUCUACGAUCUAUAGCUGGUUUGAGAGGAUGAUCAGCAACACUGGGACUGAGACACGGCCCAG